This is a non-coding RNA of Borealophlyctis nickersoniae, 73 nucleotides long. The record is from the annotation of a GenBank genome assembly. Lineage: Eukaryota; Fungi; Chytridiomycota; Chytridiomycetes; Rhizophlyctidales; Borealophlyctidaceae.
GCCUUCUUGGCUCAGAUGGCAGAGCGUCUGCCUAGUAAGCAGAAGGUCGAGAGUUCGAUUCUCUCAGAAGGCA